GAGUUUGAUCCUGGCUCAGAUUGAACGCUGGCGGCAUGCCUAACACAUGCAAGUCGAACGAGGGUAGCAAUACUCUAGUGGCGGACGGGUGAGGAAUACGUAGGAAUCUGCCCUUAAGUGGGGGAUAACCCGGGGAAACCCGGAUUAAUACCGCAUGAUCUCGAAAGAGCAAAGCAGGGGAUCGCAAGACCUUGCGCUUUUGGAGGAGCCUACGUCGGAUUAGCUAGUUGGUGAGGUAAAGGCUCACCAAGGCGACGAUCCGUAACUGGUCUGAGAGGAUGAUCAGUCACACCGGAACUGAGACACGGUCCGGACUCCUACGGGAGGCAGCAGUGGGGAAUAUUGGACAAUGGGCGAAAGCCUGAUCCAGCAAUGCCGCGUGUGUGAAGAAGGCCUUCGGGUUGUAAAGCACUUUAAGUUGGGAAGAAAAAACUUCGUUUAAUACAUGAAGUCUUGACGGUACCGACAGAAUAAGCACCGGCUAACUCUGUGCCAGCAGCCGCGGUAAUACAGAGGGUGCUAGCGUUAAUCGGAUUUACUGGGCGUAAAGCGUGCGUAGGCGGUUUGAUAAGUCGAUUGUGAAAGCCCCGGGCUCAACCUGGGAAUUGCAGUCGAUACUGUCAGACUAGAAAACGGUAGAGGGAGGCGGAACUCCAGGUGUAGCGGUGAAAUGCGUAGAUAUCUGGAAGAACACCGAUGGCGAAGGCAACCUCCUGGGCCUGUUUUGACGCUGAGGCACGAAAGCGUGGGUAGCAAACAGGAUUAGAUACCCUGGUAGUCCACGCCGUAAACGAUGUCAACUAGGUGUUGGGGGAGGAGACUUCCUUAGUACCGCAGCUAACGCGUGAAGUUGACCGCCUGGGGAGUACGGCCGCAAGGUUGAAACUCAAAGGAAUUGACGGGGACCCGCACAAGCGGUGGAUUAUGUGGAUUAAUUCGAUGCAACGCGAAAAACCUUACCUACCCUUGACAUGCCGAGAAUCCCGAAGAGAUUUGGGAGUGCCCGAAAGGGAACUUGGACACAGGUGCUGCAUGGCUGUCGUCAGCUCGUGUCGUGAGAUGUUGGGUUAAGUCCCGCAACGAGCGCAACCCUUGUCAUUAAUUGCCAUCAUUUAGUUGGGCACUUUAAUGAGACUGCCGGUGAUAAACCGGAGGAAGGUGGGGAUGACGUCAAGUCCUCAUGGCCCUUAUGGGUAGGGCUUCACACGUAAUACAAUGGUCGGUACAGAGGGUUGCCAACCCGCGAGGGGGAGCCAAUCUCAGAAAGCCGAUCGUAGUCCGGAUUGUUCUCUGCAUCUCGAGAGCAUGAAGUCGGAAUCGCUAGUAAUCGCGGAUCAGCAUGUCGCGGUGAAUACGUUCCCGGGUCUUGUACACACCGCCCGUCACACCAUGGGAGCGGGUUCUGCCAGAAGUAGUUAGUCUAACCGCAAGGAGGGCGAUUACCACGGCAGGGUUCGUGACUGGGGUGAAGUCGUAACAAGGUAACCGUA
This 1490-nucleotide ribosomal RNA is filed under the name uncultured bacterium. RNAcentral's name for it is "bacterial SSU rRNA". It matches the Rfam family "Bacterial small subunit ribosomal RNA". The record is from RNAcentral.